This 773-nucleotide ribosomal RNA is filed under the name uncultured Neocallimastigales. RNAcentral's name for it is "partial large subunit ribosomal RNA". It matches the Rfam family "Eukaryotic large subunit ribosomal RNA", at positions 26 to 614 of the family's 3401-position model. Lineage: Eukaryota; Fungi; Neocallimastigomycota; Neocallimastigomycetes; Neocallimastigales. The record is from RNAcentral.
CGCAUCUGUGCAUGCAGCAUAUCAAUAAGCGGAGGAAAAGAAACUAACAAGGAUUCCCCUAGUAACGGCGAGUGAAGCGGGAAGAGCUCAAAUUUGAAAUCUUAAAGGGUUUCCCUUUACGAAUUGUAGUUUAAAGAAGUGUUUUCUGUUGAGGUUUUGGUAAAAGUUCUUUGGAAUAGGACAUCAUAGAGGGUGAGAAUCCCGUAUUUGACCUUUACUUUCAACUUUGUGAUACACUUUCAAAGAGUCGGAUUGUUUGGGAAUGCAGUCCAAAAUGGGUGGUAAUUUCAUCUAAAGCUAAAUAUUGGCGAGAGACCGAUAGCGAACAAGUACCGUGAGGGAAAGAUGAAAAGAACUUUGAAAAGAGAGUUAAACAGUACGUGAAAUUGUCAAAAGGGAAGCGUUUGACACCAGUGUUGUUUUUCUGAAAAUCAAUUAAAGAACUGUUUAUGCUAAGCUGUUUAGACUUUAUCAGCUAACUGUUUAGUUUUGAGCUUUUCUUUAGUGCACUUUUCAGUUAACAAGUCAACAUCAAUUUCUUUUGCUGUAAAAAAGCUUGAGGAAGGUGGCUUGAGAUUCGUCUUAAGUGUUUAUAGCCUCUUGCCUAUGCAGUCGGAGAGAUUGAGGUCUGCAGCGUAGAUCCUUCGGGGCUAAAUGCAUUUGUGCUAAGUUAUAGCAUUUUAUAGACAACUUGUUGACUAUGAUUUGUCUUGUAGCUUACUCGCUUAUGUUAUUUUACCUACGCUUAGGAUGUUGAGUCAUCACACAUCUCU